RNAcentral lists this ribosomal RNA (429 nucleotides) under Chloroflexota bacterium. RNAcentral describes it as "Chloroflexi bacterium partial 16S ribosomal RNA". It matches the Rfam family "Bacterial small subunit ribosomal RNA", at positions 355 to 776 of the family's 1533-position model. The record is from RNAcentral. Lineage: Bacteria; Bacillati; Chloroflexota.
UGGGGAAUAUUGCACAAUGGGCGCAAGCCUGAUGCAGCCAUGCCGCGUGUAUGAAGAAGGCCUUCGGGUUGUAAAGUACUUUCAGCGGGGAGGAAGGGAGUAAAGUUAAUACCUUUGCUCAUUGACGUUACCCGCAGAAGAAGCACCGGCUAACUCCGUGCCAUCAGCCGCGGUAAUACGGAGGGUGCAAGCGUUAAUCGGAAUUACUGGGUGUAAAGCGCACGCGGGCGGUUUGUUAAGUCAGAUGUGAAAUCCCCGGGCUCAACCUGGGAACUGCAUCUGAUACUGGCAAGCUUGAGUCUCGUAGAGGUGGGUAGAAUUCCAGGUGUAGCGGUGAAAUGCGUAGAGAUCUGGAGGAAUACCGGUGGCGAAGGCGGCCCCCUGGACGAAGACUGACGCUCAGGUGCGAAAGAGUGGGGAGCAAGCAGG